This 312-nucleotide ribosomal RNA is filed under the name Triticum aestivum (bread wheat). RNAcentral describes it as "partial small subunit ribosomal RNA". Lineage: Eukaryota; Viridiplantae; Streptophyta; Magnoliopsida; Poales; Poaceae. The record is from RNAcentral.
AUGUCGCGCCUCUUCAUCGCGUGCCUCUUUGCACGUCAGGUCUGACACGAAAUUUUCGCCUGGCAAUGACAGACUUGCCGUCCACCCGAGCCUGGUGGCGCCUUCGGGAGCUGGUGGCAUUUUACAAAGUAGGCCACCCCAAAACUGCUGCGCAAAGGACUUGCAUCUACUGCCCUGCUGAUUCCCUGGAUGAUCUGGAAAUAGAGGUUCGCGUGUGUCUUCGACGGCGACCUCCCGUCUGCCCGCGACACCACUGCGCGUAUCAAAGAGGAAGCCACACUUUGGUCUAGAGCCGGAGCCCUCGGCCUUUGA